This 829-nucleotide ribosomal RNA is filed under the name uncultured bacterium. Its description in RNAcentral is "bacterial SSU rRNA". It matches the Rfam family "Bacterial small subunit ribosomal RNA", at positions 12 to 830 of the family's 1533-position model. The record is from RNAcentral.
UUUGAUCCUGGCUCAGAGUGAACGCUGGCGGUAGGCCUAACACAUGCAAGUCGAACGGCAGCACAGAGGAGCUUGCUCCUUGGGUGGCGAGUGGCGGACGGGUGAGGAAUACAUCGGAAUCUACUCUGUCGUGGGGGAUAACGUAGGGAAACUUACGCUAAUACCGCAUACGACCUACGGGUGAAAGCAGGGGAUCUUCGGACCUUGCGCGAUUGAAUGAGCCGAUGUCGGAUUAGCUAGUUGGCGGGGUAAAGGCCCACCAAGGCGACGAUCCGUAGCUGGUCUGAGAGGAUGAUCAGCCACACUGGAACUGAGACACGGUCCAGACUCCUACGGGAGGCAGCAGUGGGGAAUAUUGGACAAUGGGCGCAAGCCUGAUCCAGCCAUACCGCGUGGGUGAAGAAGGCCUUCGGGUUGUAAAGCCCUUUUGUUGGGAAAGAAAUCCAGCCGGCUAAUACCUGGUUGGGAUAACGGUACCCAAAGAAUAAGCACCGGCUAACUUCGUGCCAGCAGCCGCGGUAAUACGAAGGGUGCAAGCGUUACUCGGAAUUACUGGGCGUAAAGCGUGCGUAGGUGGUUAUUUAAGUCCGUUGUGAAAGCCCUGGGCUCAACCUGGGAACUGCAGUGGAUACUGGAUGACUAGAAUGUGGUAGAGGGUAGCGGAAUUCCUGGUGUAGCAGUGAAAUGCGUAGAGAUCAGGAGGAACAUCCAUGGCGAAGGCAGCUACCUGGACCAACAUUGACACUGAGGCACGAAAGCGCGGGGAGCAAACAGGAUUAGAUACCCUGGUAGUCCACGCCCUAAACGAUGCGAACUGGAUGUUGGGUGC